AAUGGGCGCAAGCCUGACGGAGCGACGCCGCGUGAGGGAUGAAGGCUUUCGGGUUGUAAACCUCUUUUGCAGGGGAAAAAGGUACAUGUGCUCAUACCACGUGUAUUUGAUGGUACUUUGCGAAUAAGCCCCGGCUAACUACGUGCCAGCAGCCGCGGUAAUACGUAGGGGGCGAGCGUUGUCCGGAGUUACUGGGCGUAAAGGGCGUGUAGGCGGUUGGAUAAGUCUGGUGUGAAAUUCUCUGGCUUAACCAGGGAGCUGCGCUGGAAACUGUCUGACUGGAGUUCGGUAGGGGUCACUGGAAUCCCCGGUGUAACGGUGAAAUGUGUAGAUAUCGGGGGGAACACCUGUGGCGAAGGCGGGUGACUGGGCCGCAACUGACGCUGAGACGCGAAAGCGUGGGGAGCAAA
RNAcentral lists this ribosomal RNA (410 nucleotides) under uncultured bacterium. RNAcentral's name for it is "bacterial SSU rRNA". It matches the Rfam family "Bacterial small subunit ribosomal RNA", at positions 370 to 772 of the family's 1533-position model. The record is from RNAcentral.